Molecule: unclassified non-coding RNA, 297 nt
Filed under: Hevea brasiliensis (rubber tree)
Lineage: Eukaryota; Viridiplantae; Streptophyta; Magnoliopsida; Malpighiales; Euphorbiaceae
Source: RNAcentral
GAAAUAUUCUCCUCUUCGACAACCUACUGCCCAGCAAGUGCUGAUGGACAAAAUAUCUGCAGGCCCUAUUACUGUGUUCAUAAUAGGAGCUCAUACAAAUUUUGCCAUUUUCCUUAUGAACAAUCCACACCUAAAGAAGAAUGUUAAGCAUAUAUAUAUAAUGGGAGGUGGUGUGAGGUCUCGAAACCCAACUGGUUGUUGCGCAAAAAAUUCCAGUUCAUCUUGCCAGCCAAGACAGUGCGGUGACCGCGGAAAUCUGUUCACAGACUACACUAGCAAUCCUUAUGCUGAGUUUAA